RNAcentral lists this antisense RNA (75 nucleotides) under Paractinoplanes brasiliensis. RNAcentral's name for it is "Actinoplanes brasiliensis ASpks TB sRNA". It matches the Rfam family "ASpks TB sRNA". Lineage: Bacteria; Bacillati; Actinomycetota; Actinomycetes; Micromonosporales; Micromonosporaceae. The record is from RNAcentral.
UUUCACCGAGCCGAGCCACAACGGGCGUUCGGCGGGCCGGUCCUGCCCGUACGUGGCCACCAAGGCCUGCGCCUC